UCAUGGUUAGCUCACUUGGUAGAGCGCUUCACUGGAAAUGGAGAGGUCCCUGGUGCGAUACCAGGAGCAGGGG
Molecule: non-coding RNA, 73 nt
Organism: Ixodes scapularis (black-legged tick)
Lineage: Eukaryota; Metazoa; Arthropoda; Arachnida; Ixodida; Ixodidae
Source: Rfam